Molecule: long non-coding RNA, 511 nt
Filed under: Vulpes vulpes (red fox)
Lineage: Eukaryota; Metazoa; Chordata; Mammalia; Carnivora; Canidae
Description: lncRNA (ENSVVUG00000013481.1)
Source: RNAcentral
GUCCCUGCCUGUGCCCCCUGGCUGACUCCCUCACACAUCAUCACUGCUUUAGUAGGUGGUAGGUGUUGGUGGUGUCCUUCACUGUCUGUCUUUUCUACCAGGAUGGUAUAUCUUCCCCACCUGCUGGGAGUGUCAGUUCCCAACAGCUCACUGCUAUGGUUCUCUGGAGAACUGUCCCUCAGCCAAUGGAAAUACAUUCCCCUGAAGAGGGGCAGGGAACCCUGGAUCAGAUCCUAUGAACAAACCCUUGUGUGUGCCAAUCACAUCCACAGCAUUGGUUCAAGUUGCUAUGACAGGUGCGAGGUAGAAGAAACCCAGAAGAGCUUCGUGGACUGUGAUGAUGUGGUGGUAUCUUGGAAGAAGAGCUUAAUGCUUCAACUUCAGCAGCCACUGUCAUCUUUCUGGCUAAGACAUCGCAAACUUUGUCAUUGUUUCCUUGAUUAAUUUUUUGGUAACACAAUGGACAGAUUUUUAACCACAGAAUAAAUCCUUAUAAUAAAUUUGACUUGCA